AGAGUUUGAUCAUGGCUCAGAACGAACGCUGGCGGCGUUAACACAUGCAAGUCGCGUGCGCAGUUUCCGUAGCAAUACGGGGAUGGGNNCACGGCGCACGGGUGCGUAACACGUGGGCAAUCUGCCCUCCGAUGGGGGAAUACCCCCGCGAAAGCGGGACUAAUUCCGCAUAACAUUCCUUGGAUUAACUUUCGAGGAUUCAAAGCAGCAAUGCGUCGGAGGAGGAGCCCGCGCCCGAUUAGCUAGUUGGUGAGGUAACGGCUCACCAAGGCAAUGAUCGGUAGCUGGUCUGAGAGGAUGGCCAGCCACACUGGAACUGAGACACGGUCCAGACUCCUACGGGAGGCAGCAGUGGGGAAUCUUGCACAAUGGGCGAAAGCCUGAUGCAGCGACGCCGCGUGGGGGAUGAAGCUUUUCGGAGUGUAAACCCCUUUCGACUGGGACGAAUGCCUCGCAAGAGGAGUGACGGUACCAGUAUAAGAAGCCCCGGCUAACUACGUGCCAGCAGCCGCGGUAAGACGUAGGGGGCCAGCGUUGUUCGGAAUUACUGGGUGUAAAGGGUUCGUAGGCGGUGUGGCAAGUCGGGAGUGAAAUCUCUGGGCUCAACCCAGAGACUGCUUCCGAAACUGCUGUGCUUGAGUGUGAGAGAGGCUCGUGGAAUUGCAGGUAGCGGUGAAAUGCGUAGAUAUCUGCAGGAACACCCGUGGCGAAAGCGGCGAGCUGGAUCACUACUGACGCUGAGGAACGAAAGCUAGGGGAGCAAACAGGAUUAGAUACCCUAGUAGUCC
RNAcentral lists this ribosomal RNA (788 nucleotides) under uncultured bacterium. RNAcentral describes it as "bacterial SSU rRNA". It matches the Rfam family "Bacterial small subunit ribosomal RNA", at positions 8 to 796 of the family's 1533-position model. The record is from RNAcentral.